UACGUAGGGUGCGAGCGUUAAUCGGAAUUACUGGGCGUAAAGCGUGCGCAGGCGGCUUUGCAAGACAGAUGUGAAAUCCCCGGGCUCAACCUGGGAACUGCAUUUGUGACUGCAAGGCUAGAGUACGGCAGAGGGGGAUGGCAUUCCGCGUGUAGGAGUGAAAUGCGUAGAUAUGCGGAGGAACACCAAUGGCGAAGGCAAUCCCCUGGGCCUGUACUGACGCUCAUGCACGAAAGCGUGGGGAGCAAACAGG
This 253-nucleotide ribosomal RNA is filed under the name uncultured bacterium. RNAcentral describes it as "partial 16S ribosomal RNA". It matches the Rfam family "Bacterial small subunit ribosomal RNA", at positions 524 to 776 of the family's 1533-position model. The record is from RNAcentral.